CGGCGCGCAGCCGCACGCCCGCGCCGUAGACGUAGUCGAGCACCACGGCUAGCGCCGCAGCCGCUGCCCUGCCUGUCGGCCCGGUGCCAGGCUCCUCGGGUGACAUCUGUACCACCGGCACCACGGCGAGGCAGCGCUCGUGUCGACCGGCCCCGAACAGGCUGCGAAAAUAGGCGCUGCCCGCGCUGAGCGCGGCACGGUGACAGGGGAAGUCGCGGCCACCGGCGCGCAGAACCACGUCGGUGAGGAUGCCAUUUCGCCGAUACGCGUUGAGGGUCUGCAGGACGCGCUGCGCGUGGCAGGAUGCUGCACACGGCGCCUCGCAGCCCCUCUCGGAAUCCUGCGGGCCGGGGGCCUCCCGCAUCCUGCAGGGUGGAGAACACAGCGUCGGGAAAUUUUCCUGCGAGGCUGGCCUAGGAUCAGGAGGCACUACUCGCGACCCAAACCAGCCACUUAUUCUUUAGUUCGCUCACUGGCUUACUCUUGCACGCACAAACGUAACGUGUGCUUGGAUUCAUUCAGACGCUCUUCUAACCAGACUCGUGGCUAUAAUCUAGCCUCUGCCCUAUCCGUACCACCUCCUCCCAUCACCCACUAAAGCCAUAUUGCCCUUUUUUCUUCAGACUCGCUAAGCUUUUUUCUAUCAGUCUCCGCAGGAGGCAGAUGGCAGGCUCUCAAAUAGGGUAAUUUGUGGAGAGUCCAAUAAAGGAACGGUUUACAAAAACCUAAGCAGUAUUUAGGGACUCCAACAGGGAUAGAACAGUGCCA
This 768-nucleotide long non-coding RNA is filed under the name Marmota monax (woodchuck). The record is from RNAcentral. Lineage: Eukaryota; Metazoa; Chordata; Mammalia; Rodentia; Sciuridae.